RNAcentral lists this unclassified non-coding RNA (705 nucleotides) under Melicope cornuta. RNAcentral describes it as "sequence contains 18S rRNA gene, ITS1, 5.8S rRNA gene, ITS2 and 28S rRNA gene". The stretch from base 320 to 445 matches the Rfam family "5.8S ribosomal RNA", at positions 31 to 154 of the family's 154-position model. The record is from RNAcentral. Lineage: Eukaryota; Viridiplantae; Streptophyta; Magnoliopsida; Sapindales; Rutaceae.
AGWGGAWGGAGAAGUCGUAACAAGGUUUCCGUAGGUGAACCUGCGGAAGGAUCAUUGUCGAAACCUGCCCAGCAGAAUGACCUGUGAACUCUUUAAAAACACCGGAGGGUGCGUGCCUUGAGUGCGUUCCCCUCCCUUCUUCAUCAGGCGUGGGCUUGCGCUCGUGCUUGUUGUAGAACAACCACCCCCGGGCGCAGCAUGCGCCAAGGAAAACUAACAAGAGAGCACGAUCUCARGACCCAUACAUGGUGUGCUUGGGACGCGGUGCCUUCUUCAAAUUAUCUAUAACGACUCUCGNCANNNNNNNNNNNNNNNNNNNCAUCGAUGAAGAACGCAGCGAAAUGCGAUACUUGGUGUGAAUUGCAGGAUCCCGUGAACCAUCGAGUCUUUGAACGCAAGUUGCGCCCUAAGCUGUUAGGCUGAGGGCACGUCUGCUUGGGUGUCACGCAUCAUUGCCCAAUCCUCACCCCUCUGGGGCCAGAUGGUGUAGGCAGAGAAUGGCCUCCCGUGAGCAGCCACUCGCGGUUGGCCCAAAAAUGAGUCUUCGGUGACGGAAGCCGCGACGAUCGGUGGUGCAAACUYGCCUCUCGAGUUCACGUCGCGUGCUUACGUCUUCGAUUAGAGACUCAAGGACCCUGACGCUCUGCAAAAGCGGAGCUCGCAUCGCGACCCCAGGUCAGGCGGGAUUACCCGCUGAGUUUAAGC